UGCCAAACGUGCCAAGACAUCAGCUCAGCCGUACGUUUGGUCGGGAAGCGCCUGUAGUCUUCAGCGCGCAUUAAUGUCGCAUCAGUAUCGUGUUCAAAAUGUGCUUGUUAUUAUUUUUGAAAAUCAUCAAAGCCCGUAACUAANUCGGUCAGUACAAAACCCAUAUGCCGACUAAUCGUAAUAAUGCAUUUUUGAUUAGAACUUAGCGUACAUACUAAUUAUUUGCACAAUUUGCACGAUGCCGUUUUUUUCCGACUACGGCAAUUACAUGCACGGGUCGACUCCGUUCUCUUCGCAAUAUUACAGUCAGCUGCUGCCCUACCCUGGGUCCAAUCCCGGUGGCCGGUCUGCAUUCCGCGCGCAUGCGGUCCGUAGUAACUACAACUCGAUGGCGGUCGAACAGACACUGAGGGCCAUACGCAGAGGCCCGGGCGCGUUGGCCGCCCGACACUACGCCCGACCGGUGCACGUAAACACAUCGGAGAUCGACGUUACGUCGCCCCGGCGGCCGCGGCCGACGGCCACGACUGAAACGGCUGUGGACAAUAACGUCGGCGGCGGCGGCGGCGGCGGUGGCGGCAGCGUCAUACACCGUGGCCGCACCGUGGUCCGGUUGCACACGAACAAAAACAAUAACAACAAUAAGAGGUCAGUUAAACCGCCCGAGAACCAGACGGCGCCGGCGGUCACCGUGACCGCGAGUUCGGCGCUGCAGUACGAGGAAGGGCUGGCGAAAAAGGGCACCAUAAAGCGACACACGUCCGCGGGCGUCAAGGUGCCGGUGAACGAUGACCGCCGACCGUCCGUCACCGAUGAGAUAUUGCGCGAGCAGGAGGCGCUGUUCGACACAAUGAUCAUGGAGGAGAUGGAAGGGCAGGAGAAGAGGGUGCGGCGCAAGAGUUAUCCAGUGGACAUGGGUGGUGGUGGUGGUAGUGAUGGUGGUGCAGGUGGUGUUGGGGGUGGUAAACAACCGCACAGGACCAGGGAAACGAGAAAAAAAUCGGUGGCCGCGGCAAUGAUGUAUAGCGAACACCCGGACAAACCGGCUAAGAACAAGACCGCGGGCACCAACUGGAAGNUGAACUACGACGUGAUCAUCGAAGAGAGCGGCAUCGAACCGGUAAGUUUUACGUUCAAGCUGAACAAUACGACGAAGAAAGAAAGCGACGGUCGAAGCGGCGAUAACGGUAAGCUAGACGCUAACCAUAACGUAGUCAUCAGCAGAUCGCAUGAUAACGAUAAUAAACGUGAUCAAAAAAACAACAGCACCGAAAAGCAUGCAAAAACUGUAAUUAAUAAAAAUCAGUGUAAUAAUGAUNAUUCGGAAGGUGGUGUAGUAGGUGUGCCCAUGAAGAAGACGAAAGUAGUGAAAAAGAAAAUAAUCGUCAAGAAGAAAGUGGUCAAGAAGAAGGAAAAAGAGGAGGACGCCGAAAUCCAGCAGGACAAGCAGGAACUGCAGAAGAAAAAAACCCCUUCACCGCCGAAAAAAGGCGGUUCNACGAACGCUGGCGCAGCGUCCGCGGUUAUAACACCGUUUGUACGCGCGUCCUUUGGCAAGACGUUCAUAUCGCCGUCACAAGUGAGCAGCACGAAGAGUAAGUUCGAAAAGCCAAAGCCCAAAAUCAACCUGGAAACGCCACCACCGCCACCAACGGCCCCGAAAACGCCGCCCGCCGCCGACAGCGGAUCGUCGUCUGACGAAUCGUCCGAUGAAGAUGACACGUCUUCGUCGUCGUCGUCGUCAACGUCGUUGUGCAGCGGAAGCAGUGGCAGCACGUUCUACGACUCGGACGAUUACGGAAAUGCGAGAAGCUGAUGCCAAACCUCUGCGGCGUCAAUCAAAAGUUGGUAGUCGAAGCACUAGCUACACUUAAACGAGACUCAUCGUCGUCGUCGGACGCGGCCACCAAUUCAUAUCAGAUCGGCGGCGCUGGAAAUGCGGACGGGGCCGAACGAUCCCUUCGUUCC
This 1968-nucleotide unclassified non-coding RNA is filed under the name Diuraphis noxia (Russian wheat aphid). Its description in RNAcentral is "putative protein kinase C delta type homolog, transcript variant X4". The record is from RNAcentral. Lineage: Eukaryota; Metazoa; Arthropoda; Insecta; Hemiptera; Aphididae.